Non-coding RNA from Caenorhabditis elegans, 21 nucleotides. The record is from Ensembl. NCBI's taxonomy places the organism in Eukaryota, Metazoa, Nematoda, Chromadorea, Rhabditida, Rhabditidae.
UUUGGUGAUAGUCUGCGUAAU